GUGGAAACCCUUUUUCCAAUCGAUCUCUCGCGAGACCACCUUUGGUCCUUAUCUUCUUACGCCAUCAACCCAUUAAACUAACAAACAAUAUUCUUAGUCGUCUUCUUCGUUCGCUUUACUAUUUCAAUCAAUCACAUUCUUCUGUAUUCUCUCUACCCAUCUUCGCCAGAUUUUCCAUGGCAACGCCACCACCCUCUUCUCUAAGCCUCUGCACAGUCUUAACCGAAUCAAAACACAUCAUCAACGCCCACUCCCGCCAUUUCCUCGCUCUCUCUGUUCUCUUUCUCCUCCCUCCCUCCUUCUCUUGCGCUGUCUUUCCCACACUUCUAAACCUCAUCGCUCCAUCCUCCACUCUCAACUCCAAAAUCCUCCUCUCGACUUCUAUCUUCCUCGAUCAAGGCCCGUCUAAUCAUUUCACUAUUAAUGCCCUUGUUUUCUCUCUCCUAUUCUCGCUCUUUGUCUUUGUUUUCGCUCCCCUUGCUGUUGGUUCCAUCACCUAUAGCGUUCUCCAUGGCUUCUAUGGUAGACCUGUCAAGCUCCUAGCCGCUAUCAAAUCUGCUUUUACUUCUUUCCUUCCCUUGUUAGUCACUACCAUUUUUGCUCAAAUUAUUGUGUUUGCGAUGUUUCUCAUUUCUGGGUUUUUCCUGUUUUUGGUAUUUAUGGCCAUUCAGCUGUUGGGGUUUCAAGUCGAGAUCUCUUCUCCCUAUUUUAUUGGGUUCUCUGGGGUUGUUUCGAUUGUUUUGUUAUUGGUUAUAGUGUAUUUGCAACUUAAUUGGUCUCUAGUAGGAGUCGUUGUGGUAGCGGAAUCGAGUUGGGGGCUUGAGCCAUUGAAGCGGAGUAGUUAUCUCAUAAAGGGAAUGAGAGGAGUGGCUCUGGCUUUAUUGUUGUUUUUUGGGUUCUUGGUGUGUAUUUUGUUAAUCAUUAGCUCUGUAUCAGGGGUGACACUGGGUAUUGGCACUAGCAAUGGAUGGAAGAGUUGUGCAUUUGUUAUCCAAAUUGUGGUAACUACAACACUGCUAAUGCUGUUGCUCCUUUACGAUGUUGCUGCAAAUACUGUUCUGUAUAUGUAUUGCAAGGCUGUACAUGGGGAGCUUGCUUUGGAAAUUGUUGAGGAGUUUGCUAGAGAGUAUAUCAGCUUGCCCUUUGAUGAUGAAAAAGUCCCUCACCUUGUCUCCGUUGCUUAUACUUGACAAAAAUAAAUAGGUUAGUGGUCUUUUUUUCUUUUUUGAACUGCAAUAGGUUAGUGGUCUUGUAAUGCCUUUCUCUCCAGGUUGUAUGAAACAAGUCCUGUUAGAAUUAUGCAAAGAAAAUGAAACCUUGGAAAUAUCAUUAGCCAUUGUUCUGUAAAUUAUUUGUUUUUUUAUGUUGUUGUUGAUGGCAGUUGAUGCUUAUGACUAGAAAUUAUUUUGUCCUCUCUUUUGCCUUUUGGUACAUGUAUCUUUUAAUGAAGAUUGAAUGGUCUCUGUUGACACCUUUUUGAAGUAAUAGCAUGCCUGGAAUUGAAGAAUAGUAAUUACAGCAAUAUUUCCAUCAACAGCCAACACCAGAUGUUCACUUGCAAUUUGAAGCAUAUGCGUUGAUUCAACUUCCAUAGCAGGAGCAUAUCACACUUAAAAUUUUUGUUAAAUGAUCUGAGUUCAGCUUGCUAAUUGGGUUAAUUUUACAUUUCACUAGCUGCAGUGAUACAAAAUUGUAAGAGUAAUACUGGUGCUACAUUGCU
Molecule: unclassified non-coding RNA, 1720 nt
Filed under: Hevea brasiliensis (rubber tree)
Lineage: Eukaryota; Viridiplantae; Streptophyta; Magnoliopsida; Malpighiales; Euphorbiaceae
Source: RNAcentral